RNAcentral lists this ribosomal RNA (440 nucleotides) under Sarocladium kiliense. Its description in RNAcentral is "eukaryotic LSU rRNA". It matches the Rfam family "Eukaryotic large subunit ribosomal RNA", at positions 137 to 585 of the family's 3401-position model. Lineage: Eukaryota; Fungi; Ascomycota; Sordariomycetes; Hypocreales; Sarocladiaceae. The record is from RNAcentral.
CCCGAGUUGUAAUUUGUAGAGGAUGCUUUUGGUGAGGUGCCUUCCGAGUUCCCUGGAACGGGACGCCAUAGAGGGUGAGAGCCCCGUCUGGUUGGACGCCGAACCUCUGUAAAGCUCCUUCGACGAGUCGAGUAGUUUGGGAAUGCUGCUCUAAAUGGGAGGUAUAUGUCUUCUAAAGCUAAAUACCGGCCAGAGACCGAUAGCGCACAAGUAGAGUGAUCGAAAGAUGAAAAGAACUUUGAAAAGAGAGUUAAACAGUACGUGAAAUUGUUGAAAGGGAAGCGCUUGUGACCAGACUUGGGCUUGGUUGAUCAUCCGGGGUUCUCCCCGGUGCACUCUUCCGGCCCAGGCCAGCAUCAGUUCGCCCUGGGGGACAAAGGCUUCGGGAACGUGGCUCUCUCCGGGGAGUGUUAUAGCCCGUUGCGUAAUACCCUGUGGCG